AGUGAACGCUGGCGGUAGGCCUAACACAUGCAAGUCGAACGGCAGCACAGUAAGAGCUUGCUCUUACGGGUGGCGAGUGGCGGACGGGUGAGGAAUACAUCGGAAUCUACUUUUUCGUGGGGGAUAACGUAGGGAAACUUACGCUAAUACCGCAUACGACCUACGGGUGAAAGCAGGGGAUCUUCGGACCUUGCGCGAUUGAAUGAGCCGAUGUCGGAUUAGCUAGUUGGCGGGGUAAAGGCCCACCAAGGCGACGAUCCGUAGCUGGUCUGAGAGGAUGAUCAGCCACACUGGAACUGAGACACGGUCCAGACUCCUACGGGAGGCAGCAGUGGGGAAUAUUGGACAAUGGGCGAAAGCCUGAUCCAGCCAUACCGCGUGGGUGAAGAAGGCCUUCGGGUUGUAAAGCCCUUUUGUUGGGAAAGAAAAGCAGCAGGUUAAUACCCCGCCGUUCUGACGGUACCCAAAGAAUAAGCACCGGCUAACUUCGUG
Molecule: ribosomal RNA, 492 nt
Filed under: uncultured bacterium
Lineage: Bacteria
Description: partial 16S ribosomal RNA
Rfam family: Bacterial small subunit ribosomal RNA
Source: RNAcentral